RNAcentral lists this ribosomal RNA (301 nucleotides) under uncultured bacterium. Its description in RNAcentral is "partial 16S ribosomal RNA". It matches the Rfam family "Bacterial small subunit ribosomal RNA", at positions 509 to 808 of the family's 1533-position model. The record is from RNAcentral.
CAGUCGCCGCGGUAAUACGUAUGUCACAAGCGUUAUCCGGAUUUAUUGGGCGUAAAGCGCGUCUAGGUGGUUAUGUAAGUCUGAUGUGAAAAUGCAGGGCUCAACUCUGUAUUGCGUUGGAAACUGUGUAACUAGAGUACUGGAGAGGUAAGCGGAACUACAAGUGUAGAGGUGAAAUUCGUAGAUAUUUGUAGGAAUGCCGAUGGGGAAGCCAGCUUACUGGACAGAUACUGACGCUAAAGCGCGAAAGCGUGGGUAGCAAACAGGAUUAGAUACCCCUGUAGUCCCUGUCUCUUAUACA